RNAcentral lists this long non-coding RNA (2938 nucleotides) under Gossypium barbadense (sea-island cotton). RNAcentral describes it as "long non-coding RNA (GBAR_LNC001905)". The record is from RNAcentral. Lineage: Eukaryota; Viridiplantae; Streptophyta; Magnoliopsida; Malvales; Malvaceae.
CGAGCGUAGGUAGAGGCUCUGAUCACCCCUUGAUUUAUAUGAUAAAAUUGUUUUUUUUUUUAAGAAAAGGACUAGGCUUUUAUUACUCAAAUUAAAACCAAACAUCAAAACAAGCCAGAAGUCCAAAACCGGGCCCAGACAAAAGAAAACUAAGCCAGCCUAUCGUCUCGAGCAGUGUGUACCCGUCCUAUCCCCUCAUCUUUCAAUUCAAAACCAACGGUUUCAUUUCCCACAGAAAACUUUCCAUUUUCCAUCCCCGUUACAGACCAUCAUUUCUCUCAAAAACACAUUUCUAAGCUUUCUUUAUCCUAGAGACCGAAAAGCUUUUACCAUCUUCCUCCUCAAUCGGCCUGGAGUCCAUUCUUCUUCCAUUAUCCUCACAACGAAUCUUGGUACCUUCUCAUCCAGGUAAAACUCUUCACCAUUUCUCAAACUUUCAGUAGCUAUUACAUGAGCAAGUUGAUUAGCCGAGCGUCUUGCAUGUUUGAUUCGUCGAGACCGGAAACAGUUGAUAUUUCGUUUUAUAUUCCGGAUAUAAGCACUUAUUUCUUAUUUGUCUUGUGAAUCUGAGUUGGAUUUCUUUAUAACUGAUAAAGAGUCUCCUAUAAUCAUAUCUGUGAAACCCAAAUCUAACCUCAUUUGUACUGCCCAUAAACGGCAAGAGCUUCCGCUGCGAAAGCCGACCCAAUAUUUGCAUGUAUGACCGAUCUAGAGGCAACCACCUUUUCUAGGACGUUUUUUGGCACCAUCCCCGACCUCGACCUAGAAUGUGUCCAAUCAAAAUCUGCAUCGAAGUUUAUUUUAAUACAAACCCCCGAAGGAGGUUCUUGUUUCGCGCUAAUAACUCUCCUGGUAGGCCCUCGUUCUUCGAUGCCUUCUAGUUCUUUAAUGUAACUUUGAAUGAAAUUGGCUACCUCUCUACCCAAUUUUGCUGAGUUCUCAUGCACACGCUUAUUCCUUUCAAUCUACAAGGCCCAAAUGGCACAACAAAAAACCCUCCGUUGAAGAACAGAACUUACACUGAAUACCCAGGUAAGCCAUUCAAACGUUUCUUGAGUUGUAUUUGACAUUAUCCACGAGUACUCUAGUAAUUUCCAAACAUCCUUUAAAGCAAGGAAACUUCAGAAAACAUGAUUCGUCAUUUCCCCCGCUCUUGGGCACAUCGCAUUCGCCACUAGUCGCUUGUAAUACAUAUUAAAUAAAGUAGGGAUAAAAUUUUAAGAUAUUCGCCAUAUCGUAAUUUUAAUUUUAGAAGGAAGAUUUAGGCUUCAUAGCUUCCUAUAGAAUCCUUUAGAUGUGGUAUGUAUUUCAUUGAAAGUAGGAGUAGGAAUACCAUAUUGUAAUAGUUUGUAGGUGCUCCGAACGGAGAACUCUCAUGAUGGUUUGCAUCUCCACACCAUCACAUCCUCGUGUGUUUCUUUCGCCAACGGGAUUCGAAGUAUAUUGGCCGCAUGAACAUUCGGUAAUAACUCGCGCCGCCAUUCUCUAUUAGCAUUAUCAAUUAAAUCAACAACUGCCAAUAUGUUAUUAUCACGAACCAUACUGCUCAAUUUAUAAUCAACCGAACUAGGAAUCCAUGCAUGAUUAAAAAUAGAAAAUUUUUCUUCUGUUCCCACUCUCCAACACAACCUAUUUUGAAGAUACUUCUAUGUCGAUCAAAUACUCUUCCAAGUAUAUGAUGCCCCAUGCUUUAAACUUGCAUUUAAAAAUUUGAUUUGAGGAUAAUACUUUGCUUUUAAAACUUAGGCUAAUAAAGAAUCAGGAUGAUUAAUAAGUUUCCACCAUUGUUUUGUUAAAAAAGCCACAUUAAAUUUUUCGAAACUCCUAAAGCCCAUGCCCCCAUUCUCUUUCAGCUCACAAAGUUUCCCCCAUUCACACCAAUGCAAUUCUCGCCUCUCAUGAGCUUUUAGCCACUAAAAUCCAGCCACUAUGCUCUCCAAUUUCCCACACAAAGAUUUUGGAAAAAGUAAGCAAGCCAUUGCAUAAGUUGGUAUGGCUUGAAGCAUUGAUUUUAUGAAUAACUCCUUACCCCCUAGUGAAAGAAAUUUAGAGCGCCAACUAUCAAUCUUCUUCUUCAUUUGAUCCUUUAAACUAAGAGAAUUAUAGGAAAAAUAAGAGAGCAAAGCAAACAAAAAUGAAAGGAUAAUUUAGUUUUUUUUCUUAGAAUACAAUAGGUUUAUACAUGCCCUCUAUUAUGGUCUCAAUCACCAUAGAUUACAAAAACAUAAAUAAAAGAAUUAAGGCAUCCUGUAAAAUUUUUAAGGGUUAUUAGAGAAUAACUUCUUGGGGAUUGGGAGUUGUAUGAACAUCCAUUCAUUAAAGGAUUUACAACACUCUGCCUUAAAUGUCCAUCAACGACAAUAUGCCUUAUUAAAACAUUUUUUCAUGAAAAAAUUUGUAGGAUAAAAACUAAUGAAGGAAAAAGAGUAUAGAAUCUUCUAUUAUAAGUUGCCUCAUUAAAAACUUUUAUUAGGAAAACACAACGAAACAAAAUCUUGGUUAAAUAAAAAUAGUACACACCAUGUUUUAGAUUAUCGCUAAUGGCAACAUCACAUUAAUCUCCUAUUAUAAGGAACCUCAUUAAUAAUUUUUACUAGGAAAACUUAAAGGGAUAAAUUUUGGUUAAAGGAAAAGAGUAUAAUUUAUUUUAGACUCACUAAUGCCAACAUCACAUUACAUUUUUUAGCCGACUCAUUUCAAUCUUGUAUACUAGUAUUUCAAAUGUUGUAGUUGGAAAUGCCUUAGUAAAAAGAUUUGUCAAAUUAUCACUUGAACGAGUUUGUUAAAUUUCUAUAUCACAUUUCAGCUCAAGACUAUGAGUGAAGAAUAAUUUUGGUGAAAUAUGUUUCGUUUUGUCACUUUUCAUGUAACCACCAUUUAAUUGAGUUAUACAUGUUGCAUUAUCUCCAUGUAAGAUAGUUGACAUAUGUUCUUGUAG